GUCCGCACUGUAAACGAUGAUUACUCGUUGCUGGAAAGCAAUUUUUCAGUGACCAAGCGAAAGCGAUAAGUAAUCCACCUGGGGAGUACGCCGGCAACGGUGAAACUCAAAGGAAUUGACGGGGGCCCCGCACAAGCGGAGGAGCAUGUGGUUUAAUUCGAUGAUACGCGAGGAACCUUACCAGGGCUUGAAAGUUAGGGAAUAAUCCUGAAAGUGAUUAGUCAGCAAUGACCCGAAACUAGGUGCUGCAUGGCUGUCGU
This 260-nucleotide ribosomal RNA is filed under the name uncultured bacterium. Its description in RNAcentral is "partial 16S ribosomal RNA". It matches the Rfam family "Bacterial small subunit ribosomal RNA", at positions 793 to 1055 of the family's 1533-position model. The record is from RNAcentral.